CCUGCUAACCAGUGUGUAUCUGCGUGUCACCUUGCUUUAAAACUGCUUUUCUACACUCCUGAUCAUACUGGUACUGGGGGAAAAAAUUGUUCUUGGUUUCUGGGUAGCUACACAAUUUUUUCUUUUCUUGUGUAUUUUCACUUAGGUACAAAUUAGAUGGGAGGCAUUUCAUCCAGUGUCAGCUCAAAGGAAACGACGUUGAAUGGAGUAAACUUCCAACUUGUAAAUUAAUUACCUGCUCUUCACCUCCUCAAAUUAGCAACGGAAAGCAUGAUGGCGAAGGUGUAGAAAAAUUUGCUUAUAACUCAACCGUGACUUACAGCUGUGACUCUGGCUUCCUGCUCGUUGGAAAUGUGAGCAUCCGUUGUACGAGUACGGACAAAACAAACGGAGUCUGGAGUGGAGCUGUGCCUGAAUGCAAAGAGAAAAGCACAUCUGUCAAACUUGGAGCAAAAGAAAUGGAAAGGAGUCCUCCUCCCCAAAGUGAGUUGAAAAGAUUGUAUCUUAAGUCCCACGUUUCCCAACUUAAUUUGCUCCUUUAUCACAUUUCUAUGAAAAAGCCACUCAAUGAAUUUCACACCACGAUUUUCUUUCUUUUCAGAUUCCCGUGGAAAUGGCAUCCAACCAUCUAAGAAGGCUUUCAUGUGGGAAAUGAAGCUCAGUCUAUAUAAAAAGUCACUGCAAAAUACCAUCUCCUUCUCCCACUCUUCUUCUUUCUCCAGGACACCAGUGUCAAGGAGCUGUGCUACCUCGGCGUUCCGAUUCGUUGUACCUUUGUACAAAACCCAAAACUACUAUUCUCCUGGGACAAACCAAGGACCCAAGUGUCUUCCAAAGUACAUGGGGAUCUCUGGCAUCCUCCCACAAGCCGGCUGCUUUGAAAACUUAAAACGGUCUAAAGUUGCAUCAUUUUGUGGAACGAGGUUGUGGGCAGCCAGGAGAAGCUGGACAUGGCAGAAGUGCUGCUACAACAGAUUCCCCAUCCGUUGCAAAGGAUUAUUUUACCCAUAAAAAGGGCUGCGUAUACGGACUGUGGCAAGUGCACAGAAAGAUUUAUCUGCAGCUUUGAAGCAGUUUAUUUGUGACGGCUCUGCCCUCCUCCAGCGAUGCCGUGACAAAAGGACCCCCGUGGAAGGAACCCUGGGAGGAGGCAUUUGCACUUUCCUUGCAUGGUUGCACAGACAACUGGCACGUGCUGCUCUUCCUGCCAUCUCACUGCAGAUGUAUACAAGACACGCAGUUAAAUGGGAUCCCACCUAUCUAAAUAUAUUGUUGUCUUUUAAACCAAAAAUAGUACUGUAAGCAUGAAGCAUGUAAACCCUUCACCGUGUUCUGUUUCUAAAGUGUCCUAUGCAAUGGUCGUACUUGUUAGGACUCUGACGCUUUGCUUUAAAACAAAGAAUAAGCUAGAUCAGGUCUGCCCAAUGUACAUGUACAAAAUGUAUUUUUUGAAUUGUGAUAUGUUUUAAUGUUCCAAGAAAUUGAUUGAAAAUUA
Molecule: long non-coding RNA, 1495 nt
Organism: Aquila chrysaetos chrysaetos
Lineage: Eukaryota; Metazoa; Chordata; Aves; Accipitriformes; Accipitridae
Exons: 6
Source: RefSeq, a predicted model, not a curated record